Molecule: long non-coding RNA, 2276 nt
Organism: Lycium barbarum (goji berry)
Lineage: Eukaryota; Viridiplantae; Streptophyta; Magnoliopsida; Solanales; Solanaceae
Exons: 2
Source: RefSeq, a predicted model, not a curated record
AUCUGUACAAUCUAGCCUAACAAUAUAAACAAACUUGUUCCCUUCUAUGCUGAACACAUGCUGUUGUACAUCUGUGAUCUGUGGCCAUCAGACGGCUAUCAUUUAAUCCAUCAAAAUAUGUCUUGAAUGGUCUAAUGGCCUCCACGUGUCUCUGCUCCAAAUACUAUAAAAUCGGUUCCUAGGAUUGAUCGAAGAACCCAAUCUUUGUCUGAUAAACUUAAGAGCUAAUAGAAACCCCCAACUUAGAAAGUAUUCUACUUAGAAAGUAUUCCAUGAUGAGAAGCCCCAGAGAGAUACUUAGUGAAAAGAUCAGCGAGUUGGUGUUCUGAAGGAACAAAUCACAAAGUUAUCAGGCCGGAGAGGUAUAGCUGUCAAACAAAGUGACAGUCAAGCUCAACGUGCUUCGUUUCUUUCAUGGAAGACGGGGUUACCAGUUAUAUGAAUGGCAGCUUGACUAUCGGAGUAAAUGGGAACCGGCAAAGAUGGUGGAACUGAGAGAUCCUCGAGUAAUCUGAUGAGCCAAGUAAGCUCCGAAGUAACUUUCCUCAUUGAUCUAUACUCGAUUUCUGUGGAAGAAAGGGAAAUCGAAGCUUGCUUCUUCGAUUUCCAUGAUAUAGGAGCAUCCAGUGGCGGAGUCAGGAUUUUCAUCCAGGGGUUCAAAAAUUCUAAAAGGUAAGUAUACGAAGAAGUCAGGUUCAACAUCUAUUAUAUAUGCAUAAUAAAAUAAUUUUAACUUUGAAAAUACACUGUAAUUUUUUUUCGAGGGGUUCAUAACCCUGGGAGCACCCCCAAGAGUUAUGUAAAACCCAUUCACAGUCACAGAUUGGCGAGAAUCCGAACAAGAUGCCCAAUUAGCAUUGCAAGAGGCUAAGAGGGAAAAAGAUGGGUUAGAAGAGUGGAGAAUACCCUACCCUGGGUCCAAUUGAAGGUACUUCAAGACCCGUAAAUCAGCAGAGAAAUGAGAAGAGCUGGGAUUCUGCAUAAAUUGACUGAGUUUCAACACUGGAAAAGCCAAAUCCGUACGAGUAUGGGUCAGACACAGAAUGAAUUCUGAUGGAUUUUCUCGAGCUCCAAUUACGCAACUACAACUUUUGUGUACGCAAAAUGUGAAGGUAACUUUACAGGUUUUCAGGCUGGUAGGUUUCUGAAUUCAAGCGAGACAUCCACAGACAACUUGUGGAACGAGCAAGCAUUCGUCAAAAAGUUCAUCGGAAGCACUACUCUAUUGAUGAAAAGGGAACUUGCUUCAGAUUCAACAUUAAUCCUUAUAGCAUGCGAUCAGCCUCAAGAUCAAGAACAUCAAGCAAUAGUGUAAACUAUAUGUGCAAGAGAAGAAGACUUGGAGUCCCAUUUAGAAGGUUAUAUAUCUCGUGACUCCUAUUAUCAUUCAGUAGCAAGUAGUAAUAGUAUCACUAGCCAUUAGAAACAAGAAAGUUCCAAUAGCAUUCUUUUCGUAAGGAGGACGAAAGAAGCCGAGUUCUUGUAGAUUCAAGAUGAACAUAAUAGGCUUAAAAGGUAAAUGUAGUGAAUCGCCACGAGCAGUUUAUGUGAGUUCGAGAAAACUGCUCGUUUCGAUUCACAACAUGUACCUUAAAGCCUAUUAUGUUCAUGAAUCUAGGAAGAACUCAGCUUCUUUCCUCCUUAAUGAAAAGAAUGACAUUGGAACUUUCUGGUUUCUGAUGGCUAGUGAUACUAUUACUACUUGUUACUGAAUGACAAUAGGAGCCACUAUAUAUAUAACCUCCUAAAUGGGACUCCAAAUCUUCUUCUCUUGCAUAUAUAGUUAACACUAAUUGAUUGAUGUUCUUGAGCUUGAGGCUGAUCACAUGAUACGAGGAAAAUAUUGAAGCAAGUGCCCUUUUCACCAACUUCUUGUCGCCAAAGGCUGAUCACAUUCACCAGAAGUACUACCUCUUAUUCUUACUGUCAUAUCCUCGCGUUGCUACAGUCUUGGAUGAUCUUUUAUGUUCUAUUGAGAAUAUAUAUUGUGGAGAUGGUGCAAGGGUGGUUAGGGGCUCAUCUUUACCAAAAAAAAAAAAAAAGGGUGGUUAGGGGCUCAUGAAAUUCUUCUAUAAGAUCUAGAACAUAAAUUUUAGUAAAAGAAGCAUUCUAAAGCCACUGGUUAAUUGCUUAGUUUUCAGAAGAUCUUGGUGUUUCAACAUUCUAUUUCUUCCACACAGGGAUUGUGCCAAGAAACAGUACUAACAUGCAACACUGAGAAAACAAUUGUUCUAGAUAGUCAUUUUAAUUCUAUUGAAGUAAAUGUUCAUAUCUCA